Molecule: ribosomal RNA, 476 nt
Filed under: uncultured bacterium
Lineage: Bacteria
Description: bacterial SSU rRNA
Rfam family: Bacterial small subunit ribosomal RNA
Source: RNAcentral
UCAGUCGACUCCUACGGGGAGGCAGCAGUGGGGAAUAUUGCACAAUGGGGGAAACCCUGAUGCAGCCAUGCCGCGUGUGUGAAGAAGGCCUUCGGGUUGUAAAGCACUUUCAGUAGGGAGGAAGGUAGUGUAGUUAACACCUGCACUAUUUGACGUUACCUACAGAAGAAGCACCGGCUAACUCCGUGCCAGCAGCCGCGGUAAUACGGAGGGGUGCGAGCGUUAAUCGGAAUUACUGGGCGUAAAGCGCAUGCAGGCGGCCUGUUAAGUCAGAUGUGAAAGCCCGGGGCUUAACCUCGGAAUUGCAUUUGAAACUGGCAGGCUAGAGUCUUGUAGAGGGGGGUAGGAAUUUCAGGUGUAGCGGUGAAAUGCGUAGAGAUCUGAAGGAAUACCAGUGGCGAAGGCGGCCCCCUGGACAAAGACUGACGCUCAGAUGCGAAAGCGUGGGGAGCAAACAGGAUUAGAUACCCUGGUAG